Ochotona princeps (American pika) is the source of this 102-nucleotide small nuclear RNA. The record is from Ensembl. NCBI's taxonomy places the organism in Eukaryota, Metazoa, Chordata, Mammalia, Lagomorpha, Ochotonidae.
GUGCUUGCUCAGCAGCAUGUAUACAUAAAUUGGAAUGAGACUAAGAUUAGCAAGGCCCUGCGCAAGGAUGACAAAGUAUGUCAAGAGAUUCACGGAAAAUAG